This 271-nucleotide ribosomal RNA is filed under the name uncultured prokaryote. RNAcentral describes it as "partial 16S ribosomal RNA". It matches the Rfam family "Bacterial small subunit ribosomal RNA", at positions 524 to 792 of the family's 1533-position model. The record is from RNAcentral.
CACGUAGGAAGGCAAACGUUAUCCGGAUUUACUGGGCGUAAAGCGCGUGUAGGUGGUUCUGUAAGUAGGGCGUGAAAGCUCCCGGCUCAACUGGGAGAGGCCGUUCUAAACUGCAGAGCUAGAGGAUGGUAGAGGGAGGUGGAAUUCCAGGUGUAGCGGUGAAAUGCGUAGAGAUAUGGGGGGAACACCAGUGGCGAAGGCGACUCUCUGGUCUGCAACUGACGCUGAGGCGCGAAAGCGUGGGUAGCGAACAGGAUUAGAUACCCCCGUA